This 524-nucleotide ribosomal RNA is filed under the name uncultured bacterium. RNAcentral's name for it is "partial 16S ribosomal RNA". It matches the Rfam family "Bacterial small subunit ribosomal RNA", at positions 355 to 895 of the family's 1533-position model. The record is from RNAcentral.
UGGGGAAUAUUGCACAAUGGGCGAAAGCCUGAUGCAGCAACGCCGCGUGAGUGAUGAAGGCCUUCGGGUUGUAAAGCUCUGUCUUUUGGGACGAUAAUGACGGUACCAAAGGAGGAAGCCACGGCUAACUACGUGCCAGCAGCCGCGGUAAUACGUAGGUGGCAAGCGUUGUCCGGAUUUACUGGGCGUAAAGGAUGCGUAGGCGGAUUUUUAAGUGAGAUGUGAAAACCCUAAGCUUAACUUGGGGACUGCAUUUCAUACUGGAAAUCUAGAGUGCGGGAGAGGAGAAUGGAAUUCCUAGUGUAGCGGUGAAAUGCGUAGAGAUUAGGAAGAACACCAGUGGCGAAGGCGAUUCUCUGGACCGUAACUGACGCUGAGGCAUGAAAGCGUGGGUAGCAAACAGGAUUAGAUACCCUGGUAGUCCACGCCGUAAACGAUGAGUACUAGGUGUAGGAGGUAUCGACCCCUUCUGUGCCGCAGUUAACACAAUAAGUACCCCGCCUGGGAAGUACGAUCGCAAGAUU